Molecule: long non-coding RNA, 887 nt
Filed under: Citrus x clementina
Lineage: Eukaryota; Viridiplantae; Streptophyta; Magnoliopsida; Sapindales; Rutaceae
Description: Citrus clementina (C. clementina) long non-coding RNA (CCLE_LNC001161)
Source: RNAcentral
ACGAAUCGAAUGCGGGUUUAAAGAUUUUGAUUCGUUUAUUCGUUUAGGAUUCGUUUAAUAAACGGGUUAUAAACGAAUCGAAUAUAGAUCAAUUCGUUUAAUAUUCAUUUAUUAUUCGGUUAAUUAAAUUACUUUUGUAUACCUAAAUUUAUUUGAAAAUUUUUUAAAAUUUAGAGGUUAAUAUUGUAAUUUUAAGCUAAAGCAAAGUCAAAGCAAUCAAAGCAGCCGGCCCUAAUCUUAAUUCUUACAUUUCACAUCUCUUUACCUUCAUCUCUUUCCCUUCAUCUCUUAGCAAUUCAAGAUUGAUUUCACAGUUUAUCAACGUCACUUAACCAGCAGCAGUCACCACCAAAGUAAGCUCCACUUCUUUUUUCCUUUUUUAUUAUUUUUGCCAGCUUUUUCAUUUCGAAAGAUAUGUUGUAAACUAUGCAUGCUUUUAGCUUUUUCCAUCAAGACGAUUUCAAAGAGUCCAUUAGUGCUAGGCUGUUAGCUUUUUUAUUUUUUGCUCAUAUUCUUCAAUUAUGUCAUUGUUAAAAAUUUAUAUAUAUAUAUAUUAUUAGUGCAAGCUUUUUUAUUUCUUGCUCAUAUUCUUCAAUUAUAUCACUGUUAAAAAAUAAAAAAUUAAUUAAUUUUAAUAUAUAUGAUCUUUUAUUCUUCAAUUAAUUUGAAUUAUUUCGUUUAUAUAUGUUAAUAACAUUUUUAUUUACUUUUUGGUGUAGGAUUUUUGUUUUCAAGGUGAAAAAGACAAAUGAAGAGAAUUAAAGAAAUUACCUUACUUUAUAAUUUUAAUUUUAAUUAUUGUUAUUUGUAUUAUUAGGGAUUUAUAAUUUGAUAUUUGGAUGGCUGCAUAAUAUGGUUUGAGUUAUUUGUAUUUUGUUCUGGAAUGC